GCUUAACGCGAAGAACCUUACCUGGUCUUGACAUCCACAGAAGUUUUCAGAGAUGAGAAUGUGCCUUCGGGAACUGUGAGACAGGUGCUGCAUGGCUGUCGUCAGCUCGUGUUGUGAAAUGUUGGGUUAAGUCCCGCAACGAGCGCAACCCUUAUCCUUUGUUGCCAGCGGUCCGGCCGGGAACUCAAAGGAGACUGCCAGUGAUAAACUGGAGGAAGGUGGGGAUGACGUCAAGUCAUCAUGGCCCUUACGACCAGGGCUACACACGUGCUACAAUGGCAUAUACAAAGAGAAGCGACCUCGCGAGAGCAAGCGGACCUCAUAAAGUAUGUCGUAGUCCGGAUUGGAGUCUGCAACUCGACUCCAUGAAGUCGGAAUCGCUAGUAAUCGUGGAUCAGAAUGCCACGGUGAAUACGUUCCCGGGUCUUGUACACACCG
RNAcentral lists this ribosomal RNA (438 nucleotides) under uncultured bacterium. RNAcentral's name for it is "bacterial SSU rRNA". It matches the Rfam family "Bacterial small subunit ribosomal RNA", at positions 954 to 1392 of the family's 1533-position model. The record is from RNAcentral.